UACGAAGGGGGCUAGCGUUGCUCGGAAUCACUGGGCGUAAAGGGUGCGUAGGCGGGUCUUUAAGUCAGGGGUGAAAUCCUGGAGCUCAACUCCAGAACUGCCUUUGAUACUGAAGAUCUUGAGUUCGGGAGAGGUGAGUGGAACUGCGAGUGUAGAGGUGAAAUUCGUAGAUAUUCGCAAGAACACCAGUGGCGAAGGCGGCUCACUGGCCCGAUACUGACGCUGAGGUGCGAAAGCGUGGGGAGCAAACAGG
This 253-nucleotide ribosomal RNA is filed under the name uncultured bacterium. RNAcentral describes it as "partial 16S ribosomal RNA". It matches the Rfam family "Bacterial small subunit ribosomal RNA", at positions 524 to 776 of the family's 1533-position model. The record is from RNAcentral.